UACAGAGGGGGCAAGCGUUGUUCGGAAUUACUGGGCGUAAAGGGCGCGUAGGCGGCCUGUUAAGUCGAACGUGAAAUCCCCGGGCUCAACCCGGGAACUGCGUCCGAUACUGGCAGGCUUGAAUCCGGGAGAGGGAUGCGGAAUUCCUGGUGUAGCGGUGAAAUGCGUAGAUAUCAGGAGGAACACCUGUGGUGUAGACAGCUUACUGGACCAUAGCUGACGCUGAGACACGAAAAGCGUGGGUAGCAAACAGG
RNAcentral lists this ribosomal RNA (254 nucleotides) under uncultured bacterium. Its description in RNAcentral is "partial 16S ribosomal RNA". It matches the Rfam family "Bacterial small subunit ribosomal RNA", at positions 524 to 776 of the family's 1533-position model. The record is from RNAcentral.